GUACGAACCGCGUGGCGCGUGCCUAACACAUGCAAGUCGAACGGAGCGAGAGUCCCUUACGGGGGUUUGCUUAGUGGCGAACAGGUGAGUAACGCGUGAGGAACCUGCCUUUCAGUGGGGGACAACAGUUGGAAACGACUGCUAAUACCGCAUAAUGCUUUUGAGCGGCAUCGCUUGAAAGCCAAAGAUUUAUCGCUGAAAGAUGGUCUCGCGUCUGAUUAGCUAGUUGGUGAGGUAACGGCUCACCAAGGCGACGAUCAGUAGCCGGUCUGAGAGGAUGAACGGCCACAUUGGGACUGAGAUACGGCCCAG
This 312-nucleotide ribosomal RNA is filed under the name uncultured bacterium. Its description in RNAcentral is "bacterial SSU rRNA". It matches the Rfam family "Bacterial small subunit ribosomal RNA", at positions 34 to 334 of the family's 1533-position model. The record is from RNAcentral.